RNAcentral lists this non-coding RNA (253 nucleotides) under uncultured bacterium. RNAcentral's name for it is "partial 16S ribosomal RNA". It matches the Rfam family "Bacterial small subunit ribosomal RNA", at positions 524 to 776 of the family's 1533-position model. The record is from RNAcentral. RNAcentral also lists the same sequence under 1 other name.
UACGGAGGGUGCGAGCGUUAAUCGGAAUUACUGGGCGUAAAGCGCGCGUAGGCGGUUUGGUCAGUCGAUUGUGAAAGCCCUGGGCUUAACCUGGGAAUUGCAGUCGAUACUGCCUGACUAGAAUGUGGAAGAGGGAAGUGGAAUUUCCGGUGUAGCGGUGAAAUGCGUAGAUAUCGGAAGGAACACCAGUGGCGAAGGCGGCUUCCUGGUCCAACAUUGACGCUGAGGUGCGAAAGCGUGGGGAGCGAACAGG